This 253-nucleotide ribosomal RNA is filed under the name uncultured bacterium. Its description in RNAcentral is "partial 16S ribosomal RNA". It matches the Rfam family "Bacterial small subunit ribosomal RNA", at positions 524 to 776 of the family's 1533-position model. The record is from RNAcentral.
UACGGGGGGGGCAAGCGUUGUUCGGAAUUACUGGGCGUAAAGAGCUCGUAGGCGGUCUGUCGCGUCGGCUGUGAAAUCCCGAGGCUCAACCUCGGGUCUGCAGUCGAUACGGGCAAACUGGAGUGUUGCAGGGGAGACUGGAAUUCCUGGUGUAGCGGUGAAAUGCGCAGAUAUCAGGAGGAACACCGGUGGCGAAGGCGGGUCUCUGGGCAACAACUGACGCUGAGGAGCGAAAGCGUGGGGAGCGAACAGG